ACUAUAUAAAUAUAUUUUACAAAAUCAUCAAUACAUCAAUAAUAUACAAAAAUAAUAUAAAUAAUGCUACAUAUACAUCAAUAAUAUAAUAAAGUGGUGCAUACUUGCUCCCUCAUCUUACCAAUUAUUUUUGAAAAAACUUCAAAAAUUCUCCUGUAGUUUCGUAGUUUCUCAUUUUGCCUCCAUGUGGGUUAAAGUGUAUCAAUUUGCCCUCCGUGGGUUCGUUUUUAUUUUUUCGGUAACUUUUUCGUUAAUAUUUCGUUAAUUAUAUACAAAAAAUUUCAGAUACCCAUUUAGAUUUAUCAAAUAUUCACUUCAGUAUUUUUUAAUUUUAACUUUAUUACUAAUUUAAGAAAAAAAUAAUGAAAUUGAUAAGGAAAAAAAAAACGAAACCACAGAGGGAUAAAUUAAUAUAUUUUAAAUCACAAGGGUUCAAAAUGAAAAAAUACGAAACUACGUGAGGAUUUUUUUUUAAGUUUUCUCAUUAUUUUUCUUAGUAAAACU
RNAcentral lists this long non-coding RNA (504 nucleotides) under Ananas comosus (pineapple). RNAcentral's name for it is "long non-coding RNA (ACOM_LNC018904)". The record is from RNAcentral. Lineage: Eukaryota; Viridiplantae; Streptophyta; Magnoliopsida; Poales; Bromeliaceae.